This 404-nucleotide ribosomal RNA is filed under the name uncultured bacterium. Its description in RNAcentral is "bacterial SSU rRNA". It matches the Rfam family "Bacterial small subunit ribosomal RNA", at positions 355 to 774 of the family's 1533-position model. The record is from RNAcentral.
UGGGGAAGUAUUGCACAAUGGACGCAAGUCUGAUGCAGCAACGCCGCGUGGAGGAUGACACAGUUUCGGUGCGUAAACUCCUUUUAUAUAAGAAGAUAAUGACGGUAUUAUAUGAAUAAGCACCGGCUAACUCCGUGCCAGCAGCCGCGGUAAUACGGAGGGUGCAAGCGUUAUUCGGAAUCACUGGGCGUAAAGGGUGCGUAGGCGGUUUGGAAAGUCUGAUGUGAAAGCCUACAGCUUAACUGUAGAACUGCAUUGGAAACUUCCAGACUAGAAUACUGAAGGGGCAGAUGGAAUUAGUGGUGUAGGGGUAAAAUCCGUAGAUAUCACUAGGAAUACCGAAAGCGAAAGCGAUCUGCUGGGAAGUUAUUGACGCUGAGGCACGAAAGCGUGGGGAGCAAACG